UCUAAUGUGGCAGAUUAGUGCAAUGGAUUUAAGGCCCAUAUAUAAAGCAAGCUUUCUUUAGAA
This 63-nucleotide transfer RNA is filed under the name Elateroidea sp. 7 KM-2017. Its description in RNAcentral is "tRNA-Leu". The record is from RNAcentral. Lineage: Eukaryota; Metazoa; Arthropoda; Insecta; Coleoptera.